CCCUUAGAUGUCCUGGGCCGCACGCGUGCUACACUGACGCCUACAGCGAGUACUUCCCAGCCCCGAGAGGUGGCUGGUAAUCAGCAAUAGGCGUCGUGAUGGGGAUAGAUCUUUGGAAUUAUGGAUCUUGAACGAGGAAUGCCUAGUAAGCGCAGGUCAUUAGCCUGCGCUGAUUAAGUCCCUGCCCUUUGUACACACCGCCCGUCGCUCCUACCGAUUUCGAGUGGUCCGGUGAAUCUUUCGGACUGCGCGCGGCCUCGUGCCGUGUCGCGGAAAGUCAGGUAAACCUUAUCACUUAGAGGAAGGAGAANUCGUAGCA
This 319-nucleotide ribosomal RNA is filed under the name uncultured eukaryote. RNAcentral's name for it is "partial 18S ribosomal RNA". It matches the Rfam family "Eukaryotic small subunit ribosomal RNA", at positions 1470 to 1796 of the family's 1831-position model. The record is from RNAcentral.